Small nuclear RNA from Heterocephalus glaber (naked mole-rat), 106 nucleotides. Its record names the gene U2. It matches the Rfam family "U2 spliceosomal RNA". Rfam says of the family: U2 is a small nuclear RNA (snRNA) component of the spliceosome (involved in pre-mRNA splicing). Complementary binding between U2 snRNA (in an area lying towards the 5' end but 3' to hairpin I) and the branchpoint sequence (BPS) of the intron results the bulging out of an unpaired adenosine, on the BPS, which initiates a nucleophilic attack at the intronic 5' splice site, thus starting the first of two transesterification reactions that mediate splicing. NCBI's taxonomy places the organism in Eukaryota, Metazoa, Chordata, Mammalia, Rodentia, Bathyergidae. The record is from Ensembl.
AUCGCUUCUCGGCCUUCUGGCUAAAGAUCAAGUGUAGUAUCUGUUAUAUUAAUAUUAUGGGAAGUGUUCAAAUAUUCUUACAUCAAAUACAUAGUAUGUAUCAUUC